Molecule: ribosomal RNA, 817 nt
Filed under: uncultured Sphingobacteriales cum 'Crenotrichaceae' bacterium
Lineage: Bacteria; Pseudomonadati; Bacteroidota; Sphingobacteriia; Sphingobacteriales
Description: bacterial SSU rRNA
Rfam family: Bacterial small subunit ribosomal RNA
Source: RNAcentral
CAGUCGUGGGGCAGCAGGUCUGUAGCAAUACAGAUGCUGGCGACCGGCAAACGGGUGCGGAACACGUACACAACCUUCCUUUAAGUGGGGAAUAGCCCAGGGAAACUUGGAUUAAUACCCCGUAACAUAUAGAAGUGGCAUCGCUUUUAUAUUAUAGCAGCAAUGCGCUUGAAGAUGGGUGUGCGGCUGAUUAGAUAGUUGGCGGGGUAACGGCCCACCAAGUCGACGAUCAGUAACUGGUGUGAGAGCACGACCAGUCACACGGGCACUGAGACACGGGCCCGACUCCUACGGGAGGCAGCAGUAAGGAAUAUUGGUCAAUGGACGCAAGUCUGAACCAGCCAUGCCGCGUGGAGGAUGAAGGUCCUCUGGAUUGUAAACUUCUUUUAUUUGGGAAGAAACCCAUCUUUUCUUGGAUGGCUGACGGUACCAGAUGAAUAAGCACCGGCUAACUCCGUGCCAGCAGCCGCGGUAAUACGGAGGGUGCAAGCGUUAUCCGGAUUCACUGGGUUUAAAGGGUGCGUAGGUGGGCAAGUAAGUCAGUGGUGAAAUCUCCGGGCUUAACCCGGAAACUGCCAUUGAUACUAUUUGUCUUGAAUACGGUGGAGGUCAGCGGAAUAUGUCAUGUAGCGGUGAAAUGCUUAGAUAUGACAUAGAACACCAAUUGCGAAGGCAGCUGGCUACACAAAUAUUGACACUGAGGCACGAAAGCGUGGGGAUCAAACAGGAUUAGAUACCCUGGUAGUCCACGCCCUAAACUAUGGAUACUCGACAUACGCGAUAAACUGUGUGUGUCUGAGCGAAAGCAUUAAGUAUC